Delphinapterus leucas (beluga whale) is the source of this 2862-nucleotide non-coding RNA. The record is from RefSeq and is a predicted model, not a curated record. Lineage: Eukaryota; Metazoa; Chordata; Mammalia; Artiodactyla; Monodontidae.
AGCUUUCUGUAAAUUAACAUCUCAUGCCUGACCUCUCAGCCAAGUAGCAUGUUGGACUGCAGCUGCCUGCUAGACAUCCUUCCAGCAUCUCAAACUCAGCUGGGCCCAAACUGGACUCAUCGGUUUUUCUCUUGUUCUGCUGAGUUUCUGGUUCCCUUGGAAGGCACCAUCAUUCUUCUGGUGCCUCAAGUGUAAAGCCAACAACUCUGAAUCCCGUUUCCCUCUCCCUUCUUCCAGAUUUGCUCAGCUGUCAGCUCUGUGGUGUUUUCCACCUGUGAUCACCACAUCCUGUGCAUGCGCCCUUGUUUCCCUGUGCACUGCCUAUGCUAGCCCAGCCCUUGGUCCACUCAACUGCCUGCUGGUCUCUUCGUCUCCAGUCUCUCCCAAUGGGCUUGCCACAGCUGUGUGGGGGGUGCAGCUGCGACCCAGCCAGAGGAAAGCCAGGGAAAGGCCAGUCCUGUUCCCUGAGCUAGAAGAUCAGACAUGAGGAUAGGGCUUACUUCAAAGAGGAGCAGAGCAGGACAGGACAAAUCAGAAACUCCCGAGUGGCUUGUCGCUGAGAAAUAGCCUGAGGAGAAUUAUUCCUAAAGGAAGUGACUCAGUUCCCAUGAGGAAUCAAGACAUGUUCAAUUCACGAGGACUGGGAGAGAGGAGCCCUGCACGACCAGCUGAAGGUUCACAGAUAGCUCGGAAUGCUCCCAAUUUCAACAUGGGGCCAGGAGUCCACAUCUCGGUUUAUGUCACAUCAGCAAAGCGCUUCUAAGAGUCCAGAUCCAUAAAAAGUGAAAGAACCAGAAAAACAUCACCUUGGGAGACAGAAAAGACUAAGACAGAUCCGACCACACGACAAUUGUCUCGGCCUUGACCUACACGGGGCAGCUAAGACUCUGGAGUGAGAGGCACUGCCCCUACCGCCACUGCUGCACAGCACUGUCUUUAGACGGUUGAACAAGUGCAAAAAGAACCCUGCUGAGUCUCGUUGGUGUGGCCCGGCCAGCGUGCAGCUCAGGGUGUCGGAGGUGGUCUCGGAGACGGGCACGAGCUCUCGCUGUCGAAGCUGGCGGCUCGGCCCUGCCACUGGGGAGGGGAGAAAAAGCCACUUACCCGUUGCCAAAGGAAUGUACAUUUCAACUUUUGAAGCUCAUCCGGCCCAUGCACUGAAUUCACCUUUUCCCGGCUUUUCAUAAGCUUUCGUGAAUUUUGCUGUUAGCCAUGCAAAAACGUAAGGAGACCAGCUUUCGAGCUUCUAGUUUGGAAGGCCUGAGUUUUAGAAAAGACCUGCUGCAGAGAUAAUGAAAGCUUUCUCUAGCGUGUGGAAUGCAUGUGUGCAGGUGUGUGUGUGUGCACGUGCGUGCGUGCACGUGCGUGCAUGUGUGUUAGUUAAUGAGGUGCUAUGACUGGACCAUUUCUGAAUGCUUCAGCCAUUUUUCACGCUGAAAAUCGGAUUUUGUUAGCAGCGAAAGAGGCCGUCUGCAGAGUAUGCCCUUACGGCCAAGAUCCUGCAAUCAUGAAUUCUUAGCAAUUUGUCUGGGAGCUGUUCGUGCAGCUAAAGCCCUGAUCUUGCUUCAGCGCUGGGCUCUCCUCUUCAGUCUGAGCGCUUCCCGGGGGCCUUCACACUCAACUUGUGAAGAGGUGGGAGGAGAUGGCAGCCCCCUGCCCUUUCGGGUGCCUCCACCUUUCUUUUCCUCCCUCUCCUGUCUCACAGGCUGCCACCCCCUCAGCCCGACUCUAACCCCUCUGUGAAGAUGGUGAUGUAAUUAGGUGUAAUGGAGUGAGGAGAGGGCUGAGGGUGGAUGACCCACGCUUGGCCCAUCGAACCCUUCUUUACAUUGAAAAGCCAGGCAGAGCUGGAGCCAUGUUUUCUGGACAAGGAUCUGACCCUGUGAAUAUUCCAGAGCCGUCUGGUGACUGUAUAACUUCAAAGCAAGUCAGUGUCCACUGCUCACUCCAUCCCUUCUGUGAGCAGAGGAGACGCGAUACUCUCCUAGGUGCCUGCGGGACAAGGCUCCAGGGAGAGAAGUUAGGUACGUGGGUGAGAUGGCCUUUCUGAACCUGAAGUGCAGCCCCUUUUGCUUCUCAUGGGUUUUUGGGGUCUCCAUGUGGAGUGAUGGGGCUGAGGAGAAGUGGACUACACCUCUGUGUUAUGUGUAGGGGUAGGAUGGGGAAGGACGCGGUCCCUUCUCCACCCCACACCUCACAACACAGCGCUUUCUAGACAGAGCCGAGCCACUUAAGGAUUAGACCAUCCCUUCCAGCAUCUCCUGUGGGAACCCACAACGCAGAGGAGAGACCCAGACCUGCUGAUUGCUUUCAUGUUCCUGGCUCUUAGGAAAGCCUCUGUUACCUGUCCCCAGGCUUGGUACUUCAUGGUCCUUUAGUACCCACUGGGCAAGCCAACCUGAAGAUCUUUACAAGUAAUCAAAGGCUGGACAGGCAGGUAUUGAUGACCACCAUAGCGUGACCUGGGCCUGAGCAAUCUUAGCAUGCGAAACCCAGAGGCAGGUUUGGGGGAUCAUCGAGGCUAGCUCUUUUGUUCUUGCAGAUAAGAAAACCAAGACGCAGAGGGGUCAACGCACAGCUAGUUAGGAGCAGAGCCAGGAUCUGAGGCCAGGUCUCCUAACUCCGUCCACACUCAGUGUUCCCUCUGCUCCAUCCUGUGGCCACCUUUGCACCUGGCCACAUCAGGAGAAGAAGGAGACACACAAUGGAAUAAGAAACCUAACCUCUUUGGUGCCAUACCAGGUACUUACUCCUAACUCCGGUGGCAGUCUCUCUGAUUGCAGCAUCCACGUGAGAGAAAUCACAACCGAGGGUUUCCCUGGUGAAAUAUUUUACAUAAAUAAAUGCCUGGUUUUUGAGCCC